UGACACAGGGAGGUAGUGACAAGAAAUAACAAUACAGGGCUUCUAAAGUCUUGUAAUUGGAAUGAGUACAAUUUACAUCUCUUCACGAGGAUCAAUUGGAGGGCAAGUCUGGUGCCAGCAGCCGCGGUAAUUCCAGCUCCAAUAGCGUAUAUUAAAGUUGUUGCAGUUAGAACGCUCGUAGUCGGAUUUCGGGGCGGGCCGACCGGUCUGCCGAUGGGUACGCACUGGUCGGCGCGUCCUUCCUUCCGGAGACCGUGCCUACUCUUAACUGAGCGGGGGCGGGAGACGGAUCGUUUACUUUGAAAAAAUCAGAGUGUUUCAAGCAGGCAGCUCGCUCUUGCAUGGAUUAGCAUGGGAUAAUGAAAUAGGACUUUGGUGCUAUUUUGUUGGUUUCGAACACCGAAGUAAUGAUUAACAGGGACAGUCAGGGGCACUCGUAUUCCGCCGAGAGAGGUGAAAUUCUCAGACCAGCGGAAGACGAACUACUGCGAAAGCAUUUGCCAGGGAUGUUUUCACUGAUCAAGAACGAAAGUUAGGGGAUCGAAGAGGAUCAGAUACCCUCGUAGUCUUAACCAUAAACCAUGCCGACUAGGGAUUGGGGGAUGUUCACAUAUCGACUCCCUCAGCACCUUACGGGAAACUAAAGUCUUUGGGUUCCGGGGGGAGUAUGGUCGCAAGGCUGAAACUUAAAGGAAUUGACGGAAGGGCACCACCAGGUGUGGAGCCUG
This 728-nucleotide ribosomal RNA is filed under the name uncultured marine eukaryote. Its description in RNAcentral is "SSU rRNA". It matches the Rfam family "Eukaryotic small subunit ribosomal RNA", at positions 452 to 1185 of the family's 1831-position model. The record is from RNAcentral.